RNAcentral lists this ribosomal RNA (708 nucleotides) under uncultured beta proteobacterium. RNAcentral describes it as "bacterial SSU rRNA". It matches the Rfam family "Bacterial small subunit ribosomal RNA", at positions 53 to 756 of the family's 1533-position model. Lineage: Bacteria; Pseudomonadati; Pseudomonadota; Betaproteobacteria. The record is from RNAcentral.
ACAAUGCAAGUCGAACGCCAGCACGGGAGCAAUCCUGGUGGCGAGUGGCGAACGGGUGAGUAAUAUAUCGGAACGUGCCCAGUCGUGGGGGAUAACGUAGAGAAAUUUACGCUAAUACCGCAUACGAUCUAAGGAUGAAAGCGGGGGAUCGCAAGACCUCGCGCGAUUGGAGCGGCUGAUAUCAGAUUAGGUUGUUGGUGAGGUAAAAGCUCACCAAGCCGACGAUCUGUAGUGGUUUGAGAGAACGACCAGCCACACUGGGACUGAGACACGGCCCAGACUCCUACGGGAGGCAGCAGUGGGGAAUUUUGGACAAUGGGCGAAAGCCUGAUCCAGCAAUGCCGCGUGUGGGAAGAAGGCCUUCGGGUUGUAAACCACUUUUGUACGGAACGAAAAGGUCUGCCCUAAUACGGUGGGCCCAUGACGGUACCGUAAGAAUGAGCACCGGCUAACUACGUGCCAGCAGCCGCGGUAAUACGUAGGGUGCAGCGUUAAUCGGAAUUACUGGGCGUAAAGCGUGCGCAGGCGGUUAUAUAAGACAGUUGUGAAAUCCCCGGGCUCAACCUGGGAAUUGCAUCUGUGACUGCAUAGCUAGAGUACGGUAGAGGGGGAUGGAAUUCCGCGUGUAGCAGUGAAAUGCGUAGAUAUGCGGAGGAACACCGAUGGCGAAGGCAAUCCCCUGGACCUGUACUGACGCUCAUUGCACGA